RNAcentral lists this ribosomal RNA (513 nucleotides) under uncultured bacterium. RNAcentral describes it as "partial 16S ribosomal RNA". It matches the Rfam family "Bacterial small subunit ribosomal RNA", at positions 28 to 507 of the family's 1533-position model. The record is from RNAcentral.
GACGAACGCUGGCGGCGUGCUUAACACAUGCAAGUCGAACGAAAAGAGGGAAAGAGCUUGCUCUUUCCGGAAUUGAGUGGCAAACGGGUGAGUAACACGUAAACAACCUGCCUUCAGGAUGGGGACAACAGACGGAAACGACUGCUAAUACCGAAUAAGUUCCAAGAGCCGCAUGGCCCAUGGAAGAAAAGGUGGCCUCUACCUGUAAGCUAUCGCCUGAAGAGGGGUUUGCGUCUGAUUAGCUGGUUGGAGGGGUAACGGCCCACCAAGGCGACGAUCAGUAGCCGGUCGGCGAGGAUGAACGGCCAAACUGGAACUGAGACACGGUCCAGACUCCUACGGGAGGCAGCAGUGGGGAAUCUUCCGCAAUGGGCGAAAGCCUGACGGAGCAACGCCGCGUGAGUGAUGACGGCCUUCGGGUUGUAAAACUCUGUGAUCCGGGACGAAAAGGCAGAGUGCGAAGAACAAACUGCAUUGACGGUACCGGAAAAGCAAGCCACGGCUAACUACGUG